This 439-nucleotide ribosomal RNA is filed under the name uncultured bacterium. Its description in RNAcentral is "partial 16S ribosomal RNA". It matches the Rfam family "Bacterial small subunit ribosomal RNA", at positions 339 to 795 of the family's 1533-position model. The record is from RNAcentral.
CUACGGGGGGCAGCAGUGGGGGAUAUUGCACAAUGGGCGAAAGCCUGAUGCAGCAACGCCGCGUGAAGGAUGACGGAUUUCGGUCUGUAAACUUCUAUCAGCAGGGAAGAAAAUGACGGUACCUGACUAAGAAGCCCCGGCUAACUACGUGCCAGCAGCCGCGGUAAUACGUAGGGGGCAAGCGUUAUCCGGAAUUACUGGGUGUAAAGGGUACGUAGGCGGCUGAUCAAGUCAGAUGUGAAAGCCCGGAGCUCAACUCCGGGAUUGCAUUUGAAACUGGUCGGCUAGAGUGCAGGAGAGGAAAGUGGAAUUCCUAGUGUAGCGGUGAAAUGCGUAGAUAUUAGGAAGAACACCAGUGGCGAAGGCGGCUUUCUGGACUGUAACUGACGCUGAGGUACGAAAGCGUGGGGAGCGAACAGGAUUAGAUACCCGAGUAGUC